Molecule: ribosomal RNA, 279 nt
Filed under: uncultured bacterium
Lineage: Bacteria
Description: partial 16S ribosomal RNA
Rfam family: Bacterial small subunit ribosomal RNA
Source: RNAcentral
UGCCAGCCGCCGCGGUAAUACGAAGGUCCCAAGCGUUGUUCGGAAUCACUGGGCGUAAAGCGUGUGUAGGCUGCGCGGAAAGUCAAAUGUGAAAGCCAAGGGCUCAACCCUUGAACUGCAUUCGAUACUCCCGUGCUAGAGUAAUGGAGAGGUAAGUGGAAUUCUCGGUGUAGCAGUGAAAUGCGUAGAUAUCGAGAGGAACAUCAAUGGCGAAGGCAGUUCACUGGACCGUGGUCGACGCUGAGGAGCGAAAGCUAGGGGAGCAAACAGGAUUAGAUA